Molecule: ribosomal RNA, 252 nt
Filed under: uncultured Bacteroidales bacterium
Lineage: Bacteria; Pseudomonadati; Bacteroidota; Bacteroidia; Bacteroidales
Description: partial 16S ribosomal RNA
Rfam family: Bacterial small subunit ribosomal RNA
Source: RNAcentral
UACGGAGGAUGCGAGCGUUAUCCGGAUUUAUUGGGUUUAAAGGGUGCGUAGGCGGCGAGUUAAGUCAGCGGUAAAAGCCCGGGGCUCAACCCCGGCCCGCCGUUGAAACUGGCUGGCUUGAGUUGGGGAAAGGCAGGCGGAAUGCGCGGUGUAGCGGUGAAAUGCAUAGAUAUCAGGAGGAACACCGGCGGCGAAGGCGGCCUGCUGGACCGUAACUGACGUUGAGGCUCGAAAGCGUGGGGAGCAAACAGG